AGUGAACGCUGGCGGUAGGCCUAACACAUGCAAGUCGAACGGCAGCACAGUAAGAGCUUGCUCUUACGGGUGGCGAGUGGCGGACGGGUGAGGAAUACAUCGGAAUCUACUUUUUCGUGGGGGAUAACGUAGGGAAACUUACGCUAAUACCGCAUACGACCUACGGGUGAAAGCAGGGGAUCUUCGGACCUUGCGCGAUUGAAUGAGCCGAUGUCGGAUUAGCUAGUUGGCGGGGUAAAGGCCCACCAAGGCGACGAUCCGUAGCUGGUCUGAGAGGAUGAUCAGCCACACUGGAACUGAGACACGGUCCAGACUCCUACGGGAGGCAGCAGUGGGGAAUAUUGGACAAUGGGCGCAAGCCUGAUCCAGCCAUACCGCGUGGGUGAAGAAGGCCUUCGGGUUGUAAAGUCCUUUUGUUGGGAAAGAAAAGCAGCAGGUUAAUACCCCGCUGUUCUGACGGUACCCAAAGAAUAAGCACCGGCUAACCUCGUG
Molecule: ribosomal RNA, 492 nt
Filed under: uncultured bacterium
Lineage: Bacteria
Description: partial 16S ribosomal RNA
Rfam family: Bacterial small subunit ribosomal RNA
Source: RNAcentral